CCCUGGGAGGAGCAGAGCACAAACUGAAGUUACCUCAUCUCAGAAUAAAUAAAGAACAUGCAUUGAGGGGUUGCCCCGAGCAAAAGUGACAGUGUCUGCAGACUUUGGUCCAGUACCCAUAUCAUGAGCCUGGUGUCCCACUGCAAGUGUUCCUCAGAUGUCACCUGGAGCUUUGCAUGCUUCUCAAGUCCACAAGCCCUUCAGGUCCCUGUGCAGCUUUUCCAGCUGACAGCCAGGGAGGAGCUGCAUAGCAAGUUCAAUAGACAUCAGAUGUAAGGUAAUGCUGGAAAUUUUCUGGUGUUCUACAAAAUUCUGCAAGCUUCCCAAAGACAGCUGAAU
Molecule: long non-coding RNA, 339 nt
Filed under: Cyanistes caeruleus (blue tit)
Lineage: Eukaryota; Metazoa; Chordata; Aves; Passeriformes; Paridae
Description: lncRNA (ENSCCEG00000019055.1)
Source: RNAcentral